CUUCCCGCUCUAAAGUCUGCCGGUAUCCGUUCUUGUUUUGAAUUCUAUUGCGUCGUUUGGUGUACUUCUACGCGUGGAGAAUUUUUCAUUAAUCUUGUUUAGCAACUUUCUUCCUCAGUGCAUUUAAGGGUUUGCUGUUUCCAAGGAUUUUUGUGGUUGGAUUUUUUUAGGACUUUCAUAGAAUCCAUACUGUAUGAACAUCUUCCGUGAACAGGUUCCGAUUUAACUUAAAUAUCUUAGCGGUUUUUAGUAAUCAUUUUUGUGGAAACAUAGAAUCUGUAAAUACUUCAAGCAGUUACUCCAGUAAUGUGAAAUCAACUACUUUAUCUAGAAUGCUAGAAUUACUGACUGUAAUAUAUU
This 360-nucleotide long non-coding RNA is filed under the name Megachile rotundata (alfalfa leafcutting bee). RNAcentral's name for it is "uncharacterized LOC105662891, transcript variant X1". Lineage: Eukaryota; Metazoa; Arthropoda; Insecta; Hymenoptera; Megachilidae. The record is from RNAcentral.